RNAcentral lists this ribosomal RNA (301 nucleotides) under uncultured bacterium. Its description in RNAcentral is "partial 16S ribosomal RNA". It matches the Rfam family "Bacterial small subunit ribosomal RNA", at positions 509 to 807 of the family's 1533-position model. The record is from RNAcentral.
CAGUCGCCACGGUAAUACGGAGGGUGCAAGCGUUAAUCGGAAUUACUGGGCGUAAAGCGCACGCAGGCGGUCUGACAAGUCAGAUGUGAAAUCCCCGGGCUUAACCUGGGAACUGCAUUUGAAACUGUCAGGCUGGAGUCUUGUAGAGGGGGGUGGAAUUCCAGGUGUAGCGGUGAAAUGCGUAGAGAUCUGGAGGAAUACCGGUGGCGAAGGCGGCCCCCUGGACAAAGACUGACGCUCAGGUGCGAAAGCGUGGGGAGCAAACAGGAUUAGAUACCCGUGUAGUCCCUGUCUCUUAUAC